AAAUUGAAGAGUUUGAUCAUGGCUCAGAUUGAACGCUGGCGGCAGGCCUAACACAUGCAAGUCGAGCGGUAGCACAGAGAGCUUGCUCUCGGGUGACGAGCGGCGGACGGGUGAGUAAUGUCUGGGAAACUGCCUGAUGGAGGGGGAUAACUACUGGAAACGGUAGCUAAUACCGCAUAACGUCGCAAGACCAAAGUGGGGGACCUUCGGGCCUCAUGCCAUCAGAUGUGCCCAGAUGGGAUUAGCUAGUAGGUGGGGUAACGGCUCACCUAGGCGACGAUCCCUAGCUGGUCUGAGAGGAUGACCAGCCACACUGGAACUGAGACACGGUCCAGACUCCUACGGGAGGCAGCAGUGGGGAAUAUUGCACAAUGGGCGCAAGCCUGAUGCAGCCAUGCCGCGUGUGUGAAGAAGGCCUUCGGGUUGUAAAGCACUUUCAGCGGGGAGGAAGGCGAUAAGGUUAAUAACCUCAUCGAUUGACGUUACCCGCAGAAGAAGCACCGGCUAACUCCGUGCCAGCAGCCGCGGUAAUACGGAGGGUGCAAGCGUUAAUCGGAAUUACUGGGCGUAAAGCGCACGCAGGCGGUCUGUCAAGUCGGAUGUGAAAUCCCCGGGCUCAACCUGGGAACUGCAUUCGAAACUGGCAGGCUAGAGUCUUGUAGAGGGGGGUAGAAUUCCAGGUGUAGCGGUGAAAUGCGUAGAGAUCUGGAGGAAUACCGGUGGCGAAGGCGGCCCCCUGGACAAAGACUGACGCUCAGGUGCGAAAGCGUGGGGAGCAAACAGGAUUAGAUACCCUGGUAGUCCACGCCGUAAACGAUGUCGAUUUGGAGGUUGUGCCCUUGAGGCGUGGCUUCCGGAGCUAACGCGUUAAAUCGACCGCCUGGGGAGUACGGCCGCAAGGUUAAAACUCAAAUGAAUUGACGGGGGCCCGCACAAGCGGUGGAGCAUGUGGUUUAAUUCGAUGCAACGCGAAGAACCUUACCUGGUCUUGACAUCCACAGAACUUUCCAGAGAUGGAUUGGUGCCUUCGGGAACUGUGAGACAGGUGCUGCAUGGCUGUCGUCAGCUCGUGUUGUGAAAUGUUGGGUUAAGUCCCGCAACGAGCGCAACCCUUAUCCUUUGUUGCCAGCGGUUCGGCCGGGAACUCAAAGGAGACUGCCAGUGAUAAACUGGAGGAAGGUGGGGAUGACGUCAAGUCAUCAUGGCCCUUACGACCAGGGCUACACACGUGCUACAAUGGCAUAUACAAAGAGAAGCGACCUCGCGAGAGCAAGCGGACCUCAUAAAGUAUGUCGUAGUCCGGAUUGGAGUCUGCAACUCGACUCCAUGAAGUCGGAAUCGCUAGUAAUCGUAGAUCAGAAUGCUACGGUGAAUACGUUCCCGGGCCUUGUACACACCGCCCGUCACACCAUGGGAGUGGGUUGCAAAAGAAGUAGGUAGCUUAACCUUCGGGAGGGCGCUUACCACUUUGUGAUUCAUGACUGGGGUGAAGUCGUAACAAGGUAACCGUAGGGGAACCUGCGGUUGGAUCACCUCCUUA
Molecule: ribosomal RNA, 1540 nt
Filed under: Klebsiella pneumoniae
Lineage: Bacteria; Pseudomonadati; Pseudomonadota; Gammaproteobacteria; Enterobacterales; Enterobacteriaceae
Also listed under: 2 other names
Description: bacterial SSU rRNA
Rfam family: Bacterial small subunit ribosomal RNA
Source: RNAcentral